UACGUAGGGGGCUAGCGUUUUCCGGAAUCAUUGGGCGUAAAGCGCGUGUAGGCGGUCCGGUAAGUCCGCUGUGAAAGUCGGGGGCUCAACCCUCGGAUGCCGGUGGAUACUGUCGGGCUUGAGUACGGAAGAGGCGAGUGGAAUUCCUGGUGUAGCGGUGAAAUGCGCAGAUAUCAGGAGGAACACCAAUGGCGAAGGCAGCUCACUGGGACGGUAUUGACGCUGAGACGCGAAAGCGUGGGGAGCAAACAGG
Molecule: ribosomal RNA, 253 nt
Filed under: uncultured bacterium
Lineage: Bacteria
Description: partial 16S ribosomal RNA
Rfam family: Bacterial small subunit ribosomal RNA
Source: RNAcentral